This 82-nucleotide small RNA is filed under the name Marmota monax (woodchuck). Lineage: Eukaryota; Metazoa; Chordata; Mammalia; Rodentia; Sciuridae. The record is from RNAcentral.
GCCAGGUGCUGUGGUGUACACCUGUAAUCCCAGCAGCUAGGGAGGCUGAGGCAGGAGGCUGGAAAGUCAAAGCCAGCCUCAG